AUUCAAAGCCUCAAACUCCAUUAUAAAGCAUACACAUGUUCAAACAUGGAAAAUUACAAAAAUGACAUGUUGACCAAAUAUUGACUUUGGUCAAUAGUUAACUUUUUGGUCAACUUUGACCAAAUUCAACUUAACAUUUACACCACUUGGAAUCCUAAAACCCUAAAUCCCAAUACUAUUUCUAUUCCUAAGUUCAACCUUGAUCCUUGCCAAUUGUCAUGGAUGCUUCAAAGAUCAAACUUGGUGUCCCUUGUUUGCAAGCUUUUGUCCAACCCACUUCAUGUGCAUAUGACCUACAAGAAACCUAGAAAAACAAUGCAUGAACCUGAUCAAUAAACAACAUGAAGCAAGUUAGAACAUAAGCCACAAACUUGCUACCAAUAACCAAGGAGCAUGAAACAAAAGCCAUGAUUCAUACCUGAAGCAUGCAUAAGCAAAGUCAGAACCACAAGCUCCAUGCAGCACACAAGUCAGAACAUGUCAAGGUAUGAAAUGCACAACAUGAAGUCACAAUUUAGAAGCAUGUUUGAAUCAAAGUCAGAACCAACAAGACUACACACCAAGAACCAUGCAUUCACAAGUCAUAAUUCUUUGUACAAAAUGCAAACCAAACCCUCCAAUGAUCAAUCCUUCAAAGAAAAUUUAGUAUGCCAAACACUAGCACCAAAACCUGCUGCCACCUGAUGCAAAACCAAGCCAUUAUGCAGUGAAACACACAAACCUCAAAAUAGAACCAUUCACCAAGCCAUACAACAUGAUUCAAGUCCAAGCCGCUUAUAGUGUAAUCCAUUGAUCAACCUGAAGCACACCACAUAAAUCCUGCAAUGUCAUGACAAUGCAACAAAGCUACCAAUCACAUCACCACAUAACAUUCACAUCAGAUUGCCACAUUUUUCAAAUCAAUAAUGAUCAAAGCAUCAAACUAAACACAAUUGAACCAAAAACCAACAACUAACCUAACUGCAUUUCAACUAACAUAAUUCCCAAACUGA
Molecule: long non-coding RNA, 992 nt
Filed under: Lathyrus oleraceus (garden pea)
Lineage: Eukaryota; Viridiplantae; Streptophyta; Magnoliopsida; Fabales; Fabaceae
Description: Pisum sativum (pea) long non-coding RNA (PSAT_LNC039275)
Source: RNAcentral